This 270-nucleotide ribosomal RNA is filed under the name uncultured archaeon. RNAcentral's name for it is "partial 16S ribosomal RNA". It matches the Rfam family "Archaeal small subunit ribosomal RNA", at positions 477 to 747 of the family's 1478-position model. The record is from RNAcentral.
CAGCACCUCAAGUGGUCAGGAUGAUUAUUGGGCCUAAAGCAUCCGUAGCCUGCUUUGUUAGUUUUCGGUUAAAUCCAUACGCUCAACGUACAGGCUGCCGGGAAUACUGCAGCGCUAGGGAGUGGGAGAGGUAGACGGUACUCGGUAGGAAGGGGUAAAAUCCUUUGAUCUAUUGAUGACCACCUGUGGCGAAGGCGGUCUACCAGAACACGUCCGACGGUGAGGGAUGAAAGCUGGGGGAGCAAACCGGAUUAGAUACCCGCGUAGUCC